AACGAACGCUGGCGGCAGGCUUAACACAUGCAAGUUGAACGAAUUUAAGUUUUAUAAAUUUAUUUUAUAAACUUAAGUUAAGUAGCGGACGGGUGAGUAACAUGUAAGAACCUACCUUUAGGAAGGGAAUAACUAUUGGAAACGGUAGCUAAUACCCUAUAAUCUGAGGAGUAAAAGGUGAAAACCACCUAAAGAUGGGCUUGCAUCUGAUUAGCUUGUUGUGAAUUAAUGUUACCAAGGCGAUGAUCAGUAGUUGGUCUAAGAGGAUGAUCAACCACACUGGGAUUGAGACACGGCCCAGACCUCUACGGAGGGCGGCAGUGAGGAUUUUCCGCAAUGGGCGAAAGCCUGACGGAGCAAUGCCGCGUGGAUGACGAAGGC
RNAcentral lists this ribosomal RNA (381 nucleotides) under uncultured bacterium. RNAcentral describes it as "bacterial SSU rRNA". It matches the Rfam family "Bacterial small subunit ribosomal RNA", at positions 29 to 415 of the family's 1533-position model. The record is from RNAcentral.